AGUUUAGUGCAGAGCCUGCUGUCACUUUGCAAACCAGAACAAUCCCUCUGGAACCAGAGAUGUCAGAGUGACUCUUGUCAGGAGUGGGGAGGGGAUACCUGUAGGGCACCUGCCAACAGGACAGUCUCAUCUAUAGUGAAUCCAUGAGGACAGACACACUGUCUCAGCUUCUGUCUUUCAGCAGCCAAGUCACACAGGGCUCCGUACAUUUAUAAAGAGUUCAUAUGCAUUCGGUGUAUCUUGGGCUAAAGUACUGAAUUCAAGCAUUUCAAGAAACUGGACGCCCAGAGAAGGCAGACCACCAUGGCCGUCUGGACUGUCGUGACUCUGCAGUACUGGUUAUUCUGAAAAUGCCAAUACCAUGAUAUGCUAAGAUCAUCUUCAGCCCUUGUGUAUAUUCUUCUGCUUGGGGCAAAUGUGACUCGGGACAGCAUCCUCAAGGCUCCAUCAGUCUCCAGCUUCUUGUUUAAAAGUAAAUGAUCCACCCUAUUUAUUUGCUGCUAUUUUAUUAUAUUUGCUACUGAAGCCAUUCACUGGGCCACCUAGCGACUAGAUCUCAUUUAAUCAUACUCCAGAAAGUGCUGUGAGGAUCACACAGCGAUUGUUUUGGACUGAGACUGCAGGCAAGAAACCCAGAGCCGGACAGGACAAGCAGAUAUGCUCCCUCUGUUCUUGAAGCUGGAAACAAUCUUUAGCCACUGAGCAGUACCACAAAAUGGCUGUGACCUUGAACGGACAAAGAACUCAGGAAGUGACAGUUCUGGGUGAUGAUAAGACAGCACAACCUGGUCUUGGACUAAAAAUGCAGUUUUGAUCAAGAAGAAGGAAGACUAAAGUGUGGAUACUUCAGUCCUUCUUAGAAUGGGGAACAAAAUACCCAUGGAAGGAGUUACAGAGACAAAGUUCGGAGCUAAGGCGGAAGGAAGGACAAUCCAGAGACUGCCCCACCUGGGGAUCCAUCCCAUAUACAACCACCAAGCCCAGACACUAUUGCAUAUGCCAGAAAGACUUUGCUGACAGGACCCUGAUAUAGCUCUCUCUUGUGAGGCUAUGCCAGUGCCUGGCAAAUACAGAAGUGGAUGAUCAUAGUCAUCUCUUGGAUGGAACACAGGGCCCCCAACGGAGGAGCUAGAGAAAGUACCCAAGGAGCUGAAGGGUUCUGCAACCCUAUAGGUGGAACAACAAUAUGAACUAACCAGUACACCCAGAGCUUGUGUCUCUAGCUGCACGUGUAGCAGAAGAUGGCCUAGUUGGCCAUCAAUGGGAAGAGAGGUCCCUUGGUCUUCCAAAUUUUAUAUGCCCCAGUACAGGGGAAUGCCAGGGCCAAGAAGUGGAAGUGGGUAGGUAGGGGAGCAGGGUGCGGGGAGGGUAUAGGGGACUUUUGGGAUAGCAUUUGAAAUGUAAAUGAAGAAAAUAACUAAUAAAAAAUUGGAAAAAAUGCAGUUUUGGAGGACCGAAGAGAUGACUCAGUGGUUAAGAGGACUUGCUGCUCUUUCAGAGGUCCUGAGUUCAAUUCCCAACAACCAUAUGGUCGUGCACAAACCAUUUAUACUAGGGUCUGAUGCUCUCUUUUGGCAUGCAGUUAUAUAUGCAGAUAGAGCACACAUAUACAUAAAAUAAAAGUAAAUGAAUGAAUGAAAAAAUUCUGGCAGAAAACAAAUGCAGCUGUCUUGCUUUAGCCUCCCAAUUGCUGGGAUGAUAGCCAUGGACCAUCAUGCCUGGCUAACAUCUAUCUACCUGCCUGUCUAUCUGUUCAUGCAUUUACCCAUUGAUCUGUCUGUCUGUCUGUCUGUCUGUCUGUCUGUCUGUCUGUGUAUCUUGUCUCCUUGGUAUCCCAGGCUGGCCUCAAUCAUGAUCCUUAGCCUCCCAACUGCUGGGACUGCUGAUAUGUACUACCAUGUCUGGCCUAAUUAAAGUUUGAAUAAAAGGAAGUGUUUUGACUAUUA
Molecule: long non-coding RNA, 1946 nt
Filed under: Mus musculus (house mouse)
Lineage: Eukaryota; Metazoa; Chordata; Mammalia; Rodentia; Muridae
Description: predicted gene, 33377, transcript variant 4 (Gm33377)
Source: RNAcentral